UUCUGAUACAACAGGUUUCUUUCUCUCAACGACCAGAAAUUGUUAUUGAUGAUACUAUAUCAUCUAUAGAAGAUAUAAAAAUGUAUAUGGAAACUCUGCAAGCCACUAUUUUAUGUAAAGGAACUGACAUACACUAUAGGUGAAAAUUGAAAAUAAACUUAAAGAUUCACCUAAAUCGAGGCUCAAUCUAGAACUAUGACACCUGAAGUAAAAACAAGCAUCAAGUACAUCUUUUAGUAGUAGUGUGAAAAGAAAGAGAGUAUCUACAUUACCUUUGAAAAAUUC
RNAcentral lists this unclassified non-coding RNA (285 nucleotides) under Melitaea cinxia (Glanville fritillary). RNAcentral describes it as "misc RNA ENSMCXG00005012053.1". Lineage: Eukaryota; Metazoa; Arthropoda; Insecta; Lepidoptera; Nymphalidae. The record is from RNAcentral.